AUGCAGAAAGGCAAUCCAGAUGAUAGGAUCAGCAGCUUGCCCAAUGGCAUCCUGGUCAACAUUCUCGACCGACUCGAUGUCUCGCCGCUACAAGAACCAGUGUCCUCUCGAGACGCUGUGCCCAAAGAUAUGGCCAAUGCAGCAGUGUCCAAUGCUGAAUUAGUUCGGAGGACCGAUGCAGCUGUGACCAAAGCCUUGGCCGAUGCAGCAGUUGUAGCCAAAGCUGUGGCCAAAGUGACAAAGAGCAUACUGGCACGCAGGGAUCCGGUCGGGCAUGCUGUUGGCAAUGCCAUGGCAACAUGCAAGGUUGAGAAGGCCGAAUUCACUGUUCUGACAGAGAAGGGACGCCUAGAGUGCACCAUUGACGAUUUGGUGAAAUACGGGGCACGGUUCGUGUCAUUUUUUAAUGAGUGUACGGAUACAUUUGCUGGUCUCACGCGCCUCUACCGGGCGAAUUUGAGAUUCACUAAAUCGGACUUCGUCUCCAGCAUCCUCGUCCCUUGCAAGCGAUUAAAAUAUUUAGGUUUUCUCAAUUGCGACACAGAGAGUUGGAUAGCGUUCCAACUUGAACACGCGGAACUCAGUGAGCUCAGUAUUGUCAAUUGCCGUUUUGACGUGGUCAAACUUGACUGGGUUCCGAAGCUCACUUGGUUGAUUUGGGUUCAACCAGAGUGUCUGACCAGAUGGCUGGCGUCUGUAUUUCACCAACUAAGGAUUGGCAGUCUUGUUGACAUUCCUGAAGGGUAUGAUCUCACCUGGACAAUGUUUAUUCUGGAAGCGGCGCCGUCCCUGGAGGAGUUCUACAUGACGGUAAUGGAUCAUCCUUGUGACAUGCAAAUGGAUCAGGAGAAGAGGAAGGCGAAGUCGUACAGCGAGCACAAGGUCUCAAGACUACAUGGUGAGUCACGUCAGGCGUGUCUUGAAAGCGGCGGUGAAUCUAGGGGACUAGAUCGGCAUCGCGCCUUGGCGCAAGGGUGCCGGUCCGAGCGUUUUGCCGAAGCAUGUAACACUAUAUUAGUAGGAACCCAGCCUAAAUUGUACAGAUCAAGUAGUACAAGUUGGAGAAAAAGUAACUUUGAUGCGGUGAGAACAUCAAGUUUUCCAAAAAGCGCUCAGUUUGAAAUCAGCCAAGACUUCAUCUCUUCCGUACGCUACAUGCGAGAUACCUUGCGUUCACUUCUCCUUCCUAGACCCGCGGGAGGGUUUGGGGCUACCAUCGGGGAUAGAACCGGCAGCGAUGCUUGCCGGGCCAGGGAAGGAUCACAAGACGAUCAAUUUGGAGGAUGGGUGGACAUGCAGAAGGGCAUCAACAUCCUCGAGCACAAGCAAGAGUCGCAGUACAUGUUCGAUGCGCUCUACAUGUAUAUUAUUCCCCUGUUUUGUGUCUGUAUGUAUGCCGGUGCUGUUGGUUUUUCCGAUCCAGUGAGCGUGAGGUUGGGUUGCGAAUUAUUACAUUCUCAUCUUACUAUGUACUGCAUGAUCUGUUUCUGCAUACCCCUUCUAUAG
RNAcentral lists this ribosomal RNA (1506 nucleotides) under Triticum aestivum (bread wheat). RNAcentral describes it as "partial small subunit ribosomal RNA". The record is from RNAcentral. Lineage: Eukaryota; Viridiplantae; Streptophyta; Magnoliopsida; Poales; Poaceae.